UGGGGAAUUUUGCACAAUGGGGGAAACCCUGAUGCAGCGACGCCGCGUGAUUUAGAAGGCCUUCGGGUUGUAAAAAUCUUUUGUAUGGGAAGAAAAUGACAGUACCAUACGAAUAAGGACCGGCUAAUUACGUGCCAGCAGCCGCGGUAAUACGUAAGGUCCGAGCGUUGUCCGGAAUCAUUGGGCGUAAAGGGUACGUAGGCGGAUAAGCAAGUUAGAAGUGAAAUCCUAUAGCUCAACUAUAGUAAGCUUUUAAAACUGCUCAUCUUGAGGUAUGGAAGGGAAAGUGGAAUUCCUAGUGUAGCGGUGAAAUGCGCAGAUAUUAGGAGGAAUACCGGUGGCGAAGGCGACUUUCUGGCCAUAAACUGACGCUGAGUUACGAAAGCGUGGGUAGCAAACAGG
RNAcentral lists this ribosomal RNA (402 nucleotides) under Verrucomicrobiota bacterium. RNAcentral describes it as "Verrucomicrobia bacterium partial 16S ribosomal RNA". It matches the Rfam family "Bacterial small subunit ribosomal RNA", at positions 355 to 776 of the family's 1533-position model. Lineage: Bacteria; Pseudomonadati; Verrucomicrobiota. The record is from RNAcentral.